This 445-nucleotide ribosomal RNA is filed under the name uncultured organism. RNAcentral describes it as "partial 16S ribosomal RNA". It matches the Rfam family "Bacterial small subunit ribosomal RNA", at positions 335 to 797 of the family's 1533-position model. The record is from RNAcentral.
ACUCCUACGGGAGGCAGCAGUGGGGAAUAUUGGACAAUGGGCGCAAGCCUGAUCCAGCCAUGCCGCGUGAGUGAUGAAGGCCCUAGGGUUGUAAAGCUCUUUUGUGCGGGAAGAUAAUGACGGUACCGCAAGAAUAAGCCCCGGCUAACUUCGUGCCAGCAGCCGCGGUAAUACGAAGGGGGCUAGCGUUGCUCGGAAUCACUGGGCGUAAAGGGUGCGUAGGCGGGUCUUUAAGUCAGGGGUGAAAUCCUGGAGCUCAACUCCAGAACUGCCUUUGAUACUGAAGAUCUUGAGUUCGGGAGAGGUGAGUGGAACUGCGAGUGUAGAGGUGAAAUUCGUAGAUAUUCGCAAGAACACCAGUGGCGAAGGCGGCUCACUGGCCCGAUACUGACGCUGAGGCACGAAAGCGUGGGGAGCAAACAGGAUUAGAUACCCUUGUAGUCCC